RNAcentral lists this ribosomal RNA (550 nucleotides) under uncultured bacterium. RNAcentral describes it as "bacterial SSU rRNA". It matches the Rfam family "Bacterial small subunit ribosomal RNA", at positions 746 to 1296 of the family's 1533-position model. The record is from RNAcentral.
CUGAGGAGCGAAAGCGUGGGGAGCGAACAGGAUUAGAUACCCUGGUAGUCCACGCCGUAAACGUUGGGCGCUAGAUGUGGGGACCAUUCCACGGUCUCCGUGUCGCAGCUAACGCAUUAAGCGCCCCGCCUGGGGAGUACGGCCGCAAGGCUAAAACUCAAAGGAAUUGACGGGGGCCCGCACAAGCGGCGGAGCAUGCGGAUUAAUUCGAUGCAACGCGAAGAACCUUACCAAGGCUUGACAUACACCUGAAAAGGCUGGAAACAGUCUCCCCGCAAGGCAGGUGUACAGGUGGUGCAUGGUUGUCGUCAGCUCGUGUCGUGAGAUGUUGGGUUAAGUCCCGCAACGAGCGCAACCCUCGUUCUAUGUUGCCAGCGCGUAAUGGCGGGAACUCAUAGGAGACUGCCGGGGUCAACUCGGAGGAAGGUGGGGAUGACGUCAAAUCAUCAUGCCCCUUAUGUCUUGGGCUUCACGCAUGCUACAAUGGCCGGUACAAAGGGCUGCAAUACCGUAAGGUGGAGCGAAUCCCAAAAAGCCGGUCUCAGUUCGG